RNAcentral lists this transfer RNA (36 nucleotides) under Elymus canadensis (Canada wild rye). RNAcentral's name for it is "partial tRNA-Phe". Lineage: Eukaryota; Viridiplantae; Streptophyta; Magnoliopsida; Poales; Poaceae. The record is from RNAcentral.
CAGGAUAGCUCAGUUGUAGAGCAAAGACUGAAAUUC